This 109-nucleotide ribosomal RNA is filed under the name Escherichia coli 1-176-05_S1_C1. Its description in RNAcentral is "partial 23S ribosomal RNA". The record is from RNAcentral. Lineage: Bacteria; Pseudomonadati; Pseudomonadota; Gammaproteobacteria; Enterobacterales; Enterobacteriaceae.
UAAAGACGCCGAGAAAGCCAUAGUUCGUUAAAAUCCUGGAUGAUGUAAAAUGGGAUAAGAAUGAACAAUUUGUUUAUUACCCUGAUUGGAAGACCGUAUGGAGACAACA